Molecule: long non-coding RNA, 537 nt
Organism: Pezoporus flaviventris
Lineage: Eukaryota; Metazoa; Chordata; Aves; Psittaciformes; Psittacidae
Exons: 3
Source: RefSeq, a predicted model, not a curated record
AGCAGUAGCAAAAUUUGCAGUAGCAACAUUCCAAGAAAAAGAAUUCACGUUUGUCAUUGUGGUAUCAUAGUGAAGGCUUACCACACUUGCCUGAAAUCUUUACCAGCAAACACACAUCUAUCUGGUCUUCUCAGCUUCAAAUCCCCUAAACCCACAAAUGCAACAUUUCUUUGAGGAUAGUAAAUUUAAAACCUGGUAUUCCUCCAAAUAUUCAGCCUGCCUUUUUCAUUUACCCAGGAUUUGAAAGCUCGCUGCCCCACUGUGGAGGAUCAAGUGUAUAUUGGCAAUUCAAGACAAGAAAAAAAAGGGGGGAGGCAUGUGGCAUAUUUGCUUCUGUACGACUGAAUCUUCUCUAAAUGAAAAGCUGUCUGCCAUGGACCUGCAUCCAAAGCCUGCUGACAUUGACAGUGGUCAGCAACUCUGACAGCCUGCAGGUAUGGGUAACGAAACGGAGGAUUCAAGUUGUUACAUUCUACAGAUGGCACCUAAGUCUGUCACCUUCUGGAAAGAAGUCAUGAGUAUCCAGCUUCCAAGGCA